RNAcentral lists this ribosomal RNA (637 nucleotides) under uncultured bacterium. RNAcentral's name for it is "bacterial SSU rRNA". It matches the Rfam family "Bacterial small subunit ribosomal RNA", at positions 194 to 812 of the family's 1533-position model. The record is from RNAcentral.
CUACGGGGGAAAGCUAGGGACCUUCGGUCCUGGCGUUAAUGGAGCGGCCGAUAUCUGAUUAGCUAGUUGGUGGGGUAAAGGCCCACCAAGGCGACGAUCAGUAAUUGGUCUGAGAGGACGACCAGCCACACUGGAACUGAGACACGGUCCAGACUCCUACGGGAGGCAGCAGCGGGGAAUUUUGGACAAUGGGCGCAAGCCUGAUCCAGCCAUUCCGCGUGAGUGAAGAAGGCCUUCGGGUUGUAAAGCUCUUUCGCAAGGGAAGAAAACUUAGGCUCUAACAUAGCCUGAGGUUGACGGUACCUUGAUAAGAAGCACCGGCUAACUACGUGCCAGCAGCCGCGGUAAUACGUAGGGUGCGAGCGUUAAUCGGAAUUACUGGGCGUAAAGCGUGCGCAGGCGGUUUUGUAAGUCAGAUGUGAAAUCCCCGAGCUCAACUUGGGAACUGCGUUUGAAACUACAAGACUAGAAUAUGUCAGAGGGGGGUAGAAUUCCACGUGUAGCAGUGAAAUGCGUAGAGAUGUGGAGGAAUACCAAUGGCGAAGGCAGCCCCCUGGGAUAAUAUUGACGCUCAUGCACGAAAGCGUGGGGAGCAAACAGGAUUAGAUACCCUGGUAGUCCACGCCCUAAACGAUGU